Molecule: RNase P RNA, 417 nt
Filed under: Croceibacterium selenioxidans
Lineage: Bacteria; Pseudomonadati; Pseudomonadota; Alphaproteobacteria; Sphingomonadales; Erythrobacteraceae
Description: RNase P RNA component class A
Rfam family: Bacterial RNase P class A
About the family: Ribonuclease P (RNase P) is a ubiquitous endoribonuclease, found in archaea, bacteria and eukarya as well as chloroplasts and mitochondria. Its best characterised activity is the generation of mature 5'-ends of tRNAs by cleaving the 5'-leader elements of precursor-tRNAs.
Source: RNAcentral
CCAGGAGGCCGGGCAGCCGCGUCGAAGCGCAAGUUUCGCCGAGGAAAGUCCGGGCUCCACGAAACAAGGGUGGCGGGUAACGCCCGCCGGGCAAGGGGCUUCGGCCCCAAGUCCAGGGAAAGUGCCACAGAGAGUAUACCGCCGAUGGCCUCUAAAGGGCACAGGCAAGGGUGAAAGGGUGCGGCAAGAGCGCACCGGGCGACCGGUAACGGAAGCCGCAUGGCAAACCCCACCCGGAGCAAGACCGCAUAGGGGUCUCGAGCCGCAAGGCAGGGGAGUUUCGCCCCGAGAGACCCGGGUUGGUUGCUAGAGUGGCGGAGCAAUCCGUCGCCGAGAUGAAUGGCUGCCACCGCGUGGCCGGUCCCUUCGGGGAUACCGCGCGCGGGACAGAACCCGGCUUACAGGCCUCCUGGCGUU